CAGCAGCCGCCGCGGUAAUACGUAGGUGGCAAGCGUUGUCCGGAAUUAUUGGGCGUAAAGGGCUCGCAGGCGGUUUCUUAAGUCUGAUGUGAAAGCCCCCGGCUCAACCGGGGAGGGUCAUUGGAAACUGGGAAACUUGAGUGCAGAAGAGGAGAGUGGAAUUCCACGUGUAGCGGUGAAAUGCGUAGAGAUGUGGAGGAACACCAGUGGCGAAGGCGACUCUCUGGUCUGUAACUGACGCUGAGGAGCGAAAGCGUGGGGAGCGAACAGGAUUAGAUACCCCAGUAGUCCCUGUCUCUUAUAC
Molecule: ribosomal RNA, 304 nt
Filed under: uncultured bacterium
Lineage: Bacteria
Description: partial 16S ribosomal RNA
Rfam family: Bacterial small subunit ribosomal RNA
Source: RNAcentral